RNAcentral lists this ribosomal RNA (744 nucleotides) under Teratosphaeria hortaea. RNAcentral's name for it is "eukaryotic LSU rRNA". It matches the Rfam family "Eukaryotic large subunit ribosomal RNA", at positions 95 to 871 of the family's 3401-position model. The record is from RNAcentral. Lineage: Eukaryota; Fungi; Ascomycota; Dothideomycetes; Mycosphaerellales; Teratosphaeriaceae.
GAAGCGGCAACAGCUCAAAUUUGAAAUCUGGCGCAAGCCCGAGUUGUAAUUUGUAGAGGAUGCUUCAGGGCAGCGGCCGGUCUAAGUUCCUUGGAACAGGACGUCAUAGAGGGUGAGAAUCCCGUAUGCGACCGGUUGGCACCCGUCACGUAGCUCCUUCGACGAGUCGAGUUGUUUGGGAAUGCAGCUCUAAAUGGGAGGUAAAUUUCUUCUAAAGCUAAAUACCGGCCAGAGACCGAUAGCGCACAAGUAGAGUGAUCGAAAGAUGAAAAGCACUUUGGAAAGAGAGUUAAAAAGCACGUGAAAUUGUUGAAAGGGAAGCGCAUGCAACCAGACUUGUCGGCGGUGUUCCGCCGGUCUUCUGACCGGUCUAUUCGCCGCCGGCAGGCCAGCAUCAUCUGGGCGCGCCGGAUAAAGGCGUGGGGAAUGUAGCUCCUCGGAGUGUUAUAGCCCUGCGCACAAUACGGCGCCGCCCGGGUGAGGUCCGCGCUUCGGCUAGGAUGCUGGCGUAAUGGUUGUCUGCGGCCCGUCUUGAAACACGGACCAAGGAGUCUAACAUCUAUGCGAGUGUUCGGGUGUCAAACCCCUACGCGUAAUGAAAGUGAACGGAGGUGGGAAGCGCAAGCUGCACCAUCGACCGAUCCUGAUGUCUUCGGAUGGAUUUGAGUAAGAGCAUAGCUGUUGGGACCCGAAAGAUGGUGAACUAUGCCUGAAUAGGGUGAAGCCAGAGGAAACUCUGGUGGA